GACGAACGCUGGCGGCGUGCUUAACACAUGCAAGUCGAACGGAAAGGCCUGCUUUCCCUUGUGGAUUGCGGGUACUCGAGUGGCGAACGGGUGAGUAACACGUGAGUGAUCUGCCCCCAACUUGGGUAUAAGCCUGGGAAACUGGGUCUAAUUCCCGAUAGGACUGCAGGGUGGUGCCUGUGGUGGAAAACGAUUUUCUAGUGGUUGGGGAUGAGCUCGCGGCCUAUCAGCUUGUUGGUGGGGUAAUGGCCUACCAAGGCGGCGACGGGUAGCCGGCCUGGGAGGGUGGACGGCCACAUUGGGACUGAGAUACGGCCCAGACUCCUACGGGAGGCAGGAGUGGGGAAUAUUGCACAAUGGGCGGAAGCCUGAUGCAGCGACGCCGCGUGGGGGAUGACGGCCUUCGGGUUGUAAACUCCUUUCGACCGCGAGGAAGCCACCUGGUUGGAAGGGUGGUGACGGUAGUGGUAGAAGAAGCACCGGCUAACUACGUG
Molecule: ribosomal RNA, 494 nt
Filed under: uncultured bacterium
Lineage: Bacteria
Description: partial 16S ribosomal RNA
Rfam family: Bacterial small subunit ribosomal RNA
Source: RNAcentral